Molecule: long non-coding RNA, 5200 nt
Filed under: Taeniopygia guttata (zebra finch)
Lineage: Eukaryota; Metazoa; Chordata; Aves; Passeriformes; Estrildidae
Description: lncRNA (ENSTGUG00000019998.1)
Source: RNAcentral
UUUUUUUUUUUUUUUUUUUUUUUUUUUUAACCACACCAUUGUUUUAUCCGCUGCGUCUCUCACAACCUAAAAUAUCUCUUCCUCCUCACCGGCACGUCAGGCUUGCAAAUGACUGCGGGCUGUUGCCUAAUCUUUGCCCUAUUCCUCAUCCGAUGUCGAGACGGGUGCUUAGCUAAGCUAUGCACAUCUCUCGCUUCAGCAUCGCCCCGUCAAUCAGCCUCCCCAGCUCCAGCCGCUGCCGGGGCUGUUUUCUGAAUUCCUGACACUCGUCACCCUGUCGCAGUGCCAGGAAGGGCACACGGACCUGCCGGGUGGCACCAGCAGAGAAGGACCUGCAGCCGGGCACACACAGCCCAGCCCAUCACCCCGCAGGUUUGCUGCUCCAUCCUUGCUGCUCAUCCUUCACUCAGGAUCUUCCACGCAAAUUUAUCCAUGUUUUUUCCAACCUCCCCAUCUCAUCAAUAAGAAGGUUGGUUUUUUAGCCAUGUUGUUCGGUUUAUGAAUUUCCAAAGCAAGCCUUGAUCUCCUCUGCUGCUCGUUUCUCCCGGUUCCUCCCAGUUCCACAGCGACUGCAGCUCUGACUACACAAAAUUUAGCUCUGAGAUAAUUUAUGAAAAUACCACAUUUGGCCAGAUUUACCAUCUGUAACCCAAGAGACACGUCCUGCAACACAGCCCCACAUCCAUCCCCCUGUAGUUAUGACUGUCAUUGCUGGUGGUAAUUGUACAAGUAGGCAAGCAGAGUUUGCUCCAAACUUAGUCUCCACACAGUUUGGAGACUUUUGGGUCUCCUACAUCUCAUUCUCUGGGGAUUUUUUGGCUGUGACAAACCUUGAGCUGGCUUUCAAUUUAUGGCAACUGCUGUAUUUGUGUCACUUUGAACCUCCUUCAUGAGUAAACCACUCGGACAAACCAGAAUUCUUGAGGUCUGCAGUCCAUGACGGAUUUAAAUGCAGAUUAAAAAUUCCGUAGCAGAAAUAUUACAAGAGACUCAAGAUCCUAAUUGUUUCCUGUGUAAGGCAGGAGCUUAAUUUUUAUUUUUAAACUCUCAAGUGCUGACAGCCAAUAUUUUGGUGUGAAAAAGCUGAAGAUGCAACUGCUGCCUCACUGUGAGCAGGUAGCAACUUCCAGAGUUUAUUCUUACACCUUAAUUUGUUCUUAAUAUUCAGAUCGUGGCAGCAGCCAGGAGGCAUUAUCAAGCUAAGUGCUCCUUUGUGUCAAUUCACAGCGGUAGAAAAAUUCCCCGCCCAAAUGAGCCGUGAUUGUUGUAUCGUCUGGAAGAAAGCCACCCUCUCUAGUGCUGCACUAAUGCACUUCUAGCGACAGAACUGAUUAGGAUUCCUGCUUUGGAUUUGCUCAGAUCUAGCCUGGUUGGGUUUUUAAUCUUUGGGAUAAGCUGUGGAUAGAGAAUUAGCCAUUUAGAUAUAAGUGCAUCGCUGGGAAAUGCUUCGCUGCACCCGGCGUAAAAUGACUUCAGAGUCAGAUCUGGCAAGUGCUGUUUGAUAAUAAAGUGAUAACCUGGGCUGUGGGGGCAGAGGGGGAUUUUUUGCUUUCAAGAAGCACCAGACAUCUUUGUCUGAUUCUGUCUCUACUAGCACAGAAAUUAGAAGAGUGCUGAGGAAUGUGUGCUAAGAGUGAAAAUAAGCACCCAUCACUCAUCUCAGAUUUGAAAAGAUGCUUGAUAGAUGAACCACAGAGUCAUCACUGAUAAGGGAGGCACAGGGGGCAUUGCUUGGGCUGUUUGAGCCCAUGGCUAACUGGUGCUGUAUUUUGAUACAGCUGCCCAGUGAAGUCUGGCAAGAUACGUGUCCUUCCCAUCUUGGUGAGGCUGAGAAGCAGCACUGCAUGUGUGAGAGACACCAGGGUCAGGUUUAAUCAACGGUGAGCUUCUGCCCCUCUGAAUCCCCAGUGUCUGGCAAGGAGCAGUGCUCCCCAUCACACUCUUCUCUUGCAAAUAGCAAGAAAGUCAGGUAUUCUUGCAGAAGGCUCCUUUCUCCAAAGCCAUUAUUUUUCCUCCAAAAGUCCUUCCCCUAAAAAGUCCUAUUAACCUCCCUCUGGUUGUCCAUCGCAUAAUGCCAAGGCCUCAUGAAGCAGAGAAGGACUCAGGAGUGACACAACACCACAAUGGACCCUGCCACAGCACCCAAGCACCAGGAACUGCUGGGACCCCUCUCCCACAUGCUUAUCACCCCACUUUCUCUAGGGCUUGCCUUGAAUUUGGCAGCUGUAUAGACACAGACAUGCAGACUGCAGCCUAAAGAUCUCAGAUCCAGAAGCACUGGCCAAACUCAGCCUGAAAUCGAUGUCCUUUCUGAUUCUCAUGGAUGUCAGAAAGAUUUAUCCAGAGAGAUCUUAUUUUACAGCCUGUGUCUUCUGGUGUGUUUGUUCUUUCAGCACUCUGGGUUCAGAAGCUGCUGCCUCCUCCCCAAACCCUCUGUGCUGGAGGGAUAUAAAUUAUAGCAGCCUGCAAUGCAUUCAGCUAUGGUCCUGUCCAUCAUCUGUGCGUGGCAUUAACCCUCUGAAACUUGGUCACCCAGAUCUGCAUUUCCCAGGCUUUGAAUCCUUCUCCAUUGCUAAAGCCGCUCAGACAGCCAAAGAAUGAGGCGCGCACGGCAGCCGGCAUUUCUAAAGAAAACUUGAUGGCUUUCUGACACCCGACACAUGCAAUUCCCAACAGAGUUAAUUGAAGCUAAUUCCUCAAAGGCUGAGAUGAGAAUAUCCCCAUAAAUUAUGUUCCUGCUUCAUUCCAGACAAGGACAGCAUGAAUGCAUUACACGCAAUCCCCCAAUUUACAGCAUUAAAACCAGCAAGUCAAUCAAGGAGACUGAAUAUAGUCACUUGAAAGCUGAAAUUCAUUUUCAUCCUCUCUCCAUCUGUACUGUAACCUGAAAGGUUGAUUUUUUGAGGGCAUAUUUCCACGCACAGCCUGACCCAUUCCGUGAGAGAGAAGCCUUCUCCAUGGAUGUGACAUGUGGUGGGUACACCCCAGCCCCUGCUUGGGGGAUUUUGCUGAGGUGCAGGUUGUCAAAGCUGUUAUUGAGGCAACUUUCAAGGUGUCUCCAGAGACCUUUAGGUUUCCAAGACAGAGAGAAAAGCACCACAGGACUUAGGGCAUCAUGUCCCUGCUGUUGUCUCAGAAAGCCAGGGCUGGUUAUCAUGGAGGGCACACACAGAUUGCUACUGCCAAUCUGCUCUCAUUAAAAGAGAGUUAUUUUUAAAUCACGAGGUUUUUUGGGACACAGUCCUAACGAUGAGUUAUUUUUAAAUGAUACUUUAAAAAUAUAGGCACAUUUUGUGUGCCAUUCAUGUCACUUUUAGGGUCUAAAAUAUCACUGAAUUCUACUAUAGAGAUUAUGCAAAUUAAAGCCAGAUUCAGUGAAAGAGUGCCCAGCUUCUUUGCUGCUCAAAAUCAGAAGGACUGAAAAUACAUUUCUGGGCAUUUUUACUGCCUUGAAGAAGCUCUAGAGAUGUAAAAGUAGAAAAUUACUUGAUAUGUGGCCUAUAUGCAUUUGGUUAUCUGUUGGAAGAGGCAACAGUGUUUCAUGCUGGAUACUGGGAAAAUAAAUACCCAGGUGAAGCCCAGAACAAACAGAAACCCUGUGACAGAACCAGAAUCUCGAGUCCUACCAUGGCUUAACCCCAAAGUCAUGCUAUAAACUGGAACAGACUAAAGAACAAGACUUCAGCCUCAUAUAUCGUGUUAUAAAUGAGCCAUAGGGCAACCCUACUACGUACUUUUUCUUUUCUAAUGCAUUUUAGACAUGCAGUAUUUGGCAAUUAAAGUUUGCACCAAGUUCAAGCCCAGCUGUGGUGAUCCUGCAGUAAUUCUCACUGGAAUCUAUAGACUUCAAGGGCCCAGGAAGAUCUUAACAACUGCCUUGUCUGACCUUCUGCACAAGAUGUAUCACAGUUCCUGCCUCAAGUCCGUAACUCCUGACUGAGCUACGACCCAUCCCCAGGGAAAUAUGCACACUCAACAUAAAGGCUUAGAAGAUGGAAAAUCCAACUUGUCCUUGAAUUGCUGCUCCAAGGUGAGCUGCCUUCCUUGUUCCAAGUCCUCCAGCUCUAAUUGACUCUCAUUUCCAUUGUAACCUUUCCUGCUAACAUGCAGCACCACCUCCCAUUAGAAAUUUCUUCCACACACAGGUACUCCAAGACCACAAUAAGUCGUGUCCUAACCUCCUGGAUCAGCUAAACCAGUGGGGGCUAUUCCACAAUAAUAUAUUUACUCCUGGCUGCACAUGCAGGGAUGUUGCUGCCCUGUAAUGAGUAGCAGUUACCACAGGUCAGCUGAGGUUCAGGAAUUGUCCACACAAAUGCCCUUCGCCCAGAGCUAACACAGGAUUAUCUCUAAAACACAGCUCAGGAACGCGAUAAACUCAUUUGUAUUCUUUUCCUUUCAUCUAAUUGCUUUGGAGAGAAUAAUUCAUGAAUGAGACGCCCAACCCAACCUGAGAAGUGUUAAAUGCAUUGAGACAGUAUCCCUAUUUCAUUUAAAUAAAGUAAUAUUUGCCCAUAAGAAAGCACAGUGCUGAUUUAAACACAGUUUUUAAUGAUUAAAUGGUAAAAAUUAUGGUACCAGAUUGAAAAUACAGAAAAGCACUCACUUUAGGGAAAUACAUUUUCAUUUCUAUAAACGAAAGGCUGGGAAAAUAUUCUUCAUCAAUGAUACAUGAGCAAUAUAAUGUUCUGUUCCUCUAUUCUACCCGAGAGAUCAUGUUAAUCCUUUUGAUUUAUGCACAGCUCUUUAACUAAUACUGUAACAAAUGGUAUUGACAAUUAAAGUAGCUUCUGCAAGAAAUUCAUUGUAUUUGCAGCACCCACAGUAAGAAAUGCCUUCACGGUUCUGACAGGAGAUCUAAAUAAAAUUAAAGAGCUAAGAACAAAGGCUGCAGAAAAAUCAGAAAGGCAUAGCUGAUAAGGGAAUGUGACUUGCUUAUAGGGGGGAUUUUUGUAUUUAUCUAAGUCAGUAUAUUACACAUAAAAAAAAAUGAGGGUUUGUAUUCUUCAGUUUAAACACAUAAAUCUUCAAUUCUUUGCUUCCCAAUGCAGAGCUGCCUGAAAUAUUGACCAUCAUACAGAACUGGCUUUGAAAAGGCUGGCAAAGACCCGAAGAAAUUUAAUCUUAUUAAAAUACAGAGCAUUUUAAAGAUAUUAUCCCCAGUGGCUUACUGAUGGCUCAAUUGCUGCUACAAUCUGUG